Molecule: signal recognition particle RNA, 89 nt
Filed under: marine eukaryotic metagenome
Description: Bacterial small signal recognition particle RNA
Rfam family: Bacterial small signal recognition particle RNA
About the family: The signal recognition particle (SRP) is a universally conserved ribonucleoprotein involved in the co-translational targeting of proteins to membranes. Archaeal SRP consists of a 7S RNA and homologues of the eukaryotic SRP19 and SRP54 proteins.
Source: RNAcentral
CGGUCCUCUCGCGACAGCACGCCGUGAACUCCGCCAGGCCCGGAAGGGAGCAACGGUAGCGGUAUUGCUGGGCGCCGGGAUGUGGCUGG